CCUACGGGUGGCUGCAGUGGGGGAUAUUGCACAAUGGGGGAACCCUGAUGCAACGACGCCGCGUGGGUGAAGAAGCGCCUCGGCGCGUAUAGCCCUGUCAGCAGGGAAGACAAUGACGGUACCUGAAGAAGAAGCCGCGGCUAACUACGUGCCAGCAGUCGCGGUAAUACGUAGGGGGCAAGCGGUAUCCGGAUUUACUGGGGGUAAAGGGGGCGCAGACGGCGAUGAAAGCCAAGAGUGAAAGCCCGGGGCGCAACCCCGGGACUGCUCGUGGAACUGCGUGGCUGGAGUGCAGGAGGGGGAGGCGGAAUUCCUGGUGUAGCGGGGAAAUGCGUAGAUAUCAGGAGGAACACCGGUGGCGAAGGCGGCAUGCUGGACUGCAACUGACGUUGAGGCCCGAAAGCGUGGGGAGCGAACAGGAUUAGAUACCCUAGUAGUC
RNAcentral lists this ribosomal RNA (439 nucleotides) under uncultured bacterium. RNAcentral's name for it is "partial 16S ribosomal RNA". It matches the Rfam family "Bacterial small subunit ribosomal RNA", at positions 338 to 795 of the family's 1533-position model. The record is from RNAcentral.